RNAcentral lists this ribosomal RNA (465 nucleotides) under uncultured bacterium. RNAcentral's name for it is "partial 16S ribosomal RNA". It matches the Rfam family "Bacterial small subunit ribosomal RNA", at positions 28 to 507 of the family's 1533-position model. The record is from RNAcentral.
GACGAACGCUGGCGGCGUGCUUAACACAUGCAAGUCGAACGGUAAGGCUCCAGCUUGCUGGGGUACACGAGUGGCGAACGGGUGAGUAACACGUGGGUGACCUGCCCUGCACUUCGGGAUAAGCCUGGGAAACUGGGUCUAAUACCGGAUAGGACCGCACCGUGAGGGUGUGGUGGAAAGUUUUUUCGGUGUGGGAUGGGCCCGCGGCCUAUCAGCUUGUUGGUGGGGUAAUGGCCUACCAAGGCGGCGACGGGUAGCCGGCCUGAGAGGGUGGACGGGCACAUUGGGACUGAGACACGGCCCAGACUCCUACGGGAGGCAGCAGGGGGGAAUAUUGCACAAUGGGCGGAAGCCUGAUGCAGCGACGCCGCGUGGGGGAUGACGGCCUUCGGGUUGUAAACUCCUUUCACCAUCGACGAAGGGUUUCUGACGGUAGAUGGAGAAGAAGCACCGGCUAACUACGUG